This 486-nucleotide ribosomal RNA is filed under the name uncultured bacterium. RNAcentral's name for it is "partial 16S ribosomal RNA". It matches the Rfam family "Bacterial small subunit ribosomal RNA", at positions 30 to 507 of the family's 1533-position model. The record is from RNAcentral.
AUUGAACGCUGGCGGCAUGCCUUACACAUGCAAGUCGAACGGCAGCACGGGUGCUUGCACCUGGUGGCGAGUGGCGAACGGGUGAGUAAUACAUCGGAACAUGUCCUGUAGUGGGGGAUAGCCCGGCGAAAGCCGGAUUAAUACCGCAUACGAUCUACGGAUGAAAGCGGGGGACCUUCGGGCCUCGCGCUAUAGGGUUGGCCGAUGGCUGAUUAGCUAGUUGGUGGGGUAAAGGCCUACCAAGGCGACGAUCAGUAGCUGGUCUGAGAGGACGACCAGCCACACUGGGACUGAGACACGGCCCAGACUCCUACGGGAGGCAGCAGUGGGGAAUUUUGGACAAUGGGCGAAAGCCUGAUCCAGCAAUGCCGCGUGUGUGAAGAAGGCCUUCGGGUUGUAAAGCACUUUUGUCCGGAAAGAAAUCCUUGGCUCUAAUACAGUCGGAGGAUGACGGUACCGGAAGAAUAAGCACCGGCUAACUACGUG